This 329-nucleotide RNase P RNA is filed under the name Bacteroidales bacterium. RNAcentral's name for it is "RNase P RNA component class A". It matches the Rfam family "Bacterial RNase P class A". From Rfam's summary of the family: Ribonuclease P (RNase P) is a ubiquitous endoribonuclease, found in archaea, bacteria and eukarya as well as chloroplasts and mitochondria. Its best characterised activity is the generation of mature 5'-ends of tRNAs by cleaving the 5'-leader elements of precursor-tRNAs. Cellular RNase Ps are ribonucleoproteins. RNAcentral also lists the same sequence under 1 other name. The record is from RNAcentral. Lineage: Bacteria; Pseudomonadati; Bacteroidota; Bacteroidia; Bacteroidales.
CCGGUGGGUCGCUUUGUCGCUCUUCUUUUUGAGGGGAGGAAAGUCCGGACAGGGCAGAGCAAGACUCUGUGGAAAUCACAGCUGGGGGUAACUUCAGGUAAAUCGUAACAGAAAAUAACCGCCCUUUAGGGGGUAAGGGUGAAAAUGCGGGGUAAGAGCCCACAACAGAUUAUGGCGACAUAAUUUGGGUACGACCAGUCUCCUGCAAGGCCAAGUAUACCGGCAGUCAAGAGCUGCUCGCUCGUUGCCGGGGGGUAGGCUGCAUCAGAUAAAUGACAGAGGCCUCUCUUUGAGAGGUACAGAAUCCGGCUUACAGACCCACCUUUUUU